RNAcentral lists this small RNA (101 nucleotides) under Salmonella enterica. RNAcentral's name for it is "partial RtT sRNA". It matches the Rfam family "RtT RNA", at positions 1 to 100 of the family's 130-position model. From Rfam's summary of the family: This family represents a bacterial cis-regulatory element known as RtT RNA. The exact function of RtT is unknown although it is thought that it may be involved in changing the cellular response in relation to amino acid starvation. RNAcentral also lists the same sequence under 2 other names. The record is from RNAcentral. Lineage: Bacteria; Pseudomonadati; Pseudomonadota; Gammaproteobacteria; Enterobacterales; Enterobacteriaceae.
AUAUCUCUCCGUACGGGAAGGAUGAGAAGCUUCGACUAAGGUUCGAUUCGAGCGCAGCGAGAAAGCGUUGCCGCAGGCAACGACCCGAAGGGUGAAGCGCG